CCUACGGGUGGCUGCAGUGGGGAAUAUUGCACAAUGGGCGCAAGCCUGAUGCAGCCAUGCCGCGUGUGUGAAGAAGGCCUUCGGGUUGUAAAGCACUUUCAGCGGGGAGGAAGGCGUUAAGGUUAAUAACCUUGGCGAUUGACGUUACCCGCAGAAGAAGCACCGGCUAACUCCGUGCCAGCAGCCGCGGUAAUACGGAGGGUGCAAGCGUUAAUCGGAAUUACUGGGCGUAAAGCGCACGCAGGCGGUCUGUCAAGUCGGAUGUGAAAUCCCCGGGCUCAACCUGGGAACUGCAUUCGAAACUGGUAGGCUAGAGUCUUGUAGAGGGGGGUAGAAUUCCAGGUGUAGCGGUGAAAUGCGUAGAGAUCUGGAGGAAUACCGGUGGCGAAGGCAGCCCCCUGGACAAAGACUGACGCUCAGGUGCGAAAGCGUGGGGAGCAAACAGGAUUAGAUACCCUAGUAGUC
This 465-nucleotide ribosomal RNA is filed under the name uncultured Klebsiella sp. Its description in RNAcentral is "bacterial SSU rRNA". It matches the Rfam family "Bacterial small subunit ribosomal RNA", at positions 338 to 795 of the family's 1533-position model. Lineage: Bacteria; Pseudomonadati; Pseudomonadota; Gammaproteobacteria; Enterobacterales; Enterobacteriaceae. The record is from RNAcentral.